Molecule: ribosomal RNA, 357 nt
Filed under: Triticum aestivum (bread wheat)
Lineage: Eukaryota; Viridiplantae; Streptophyta; Magnoliopsida; Poales; Poaceae
Description: partial small subunit ribosomal RNA
Source: RNAcentral
CUUGCCAAGUUUCACCCUUUUCGUUUCUUUAUCAAGGAUCAGGACACGAGGGCCGUUCUGCUUAGUGGUCGUCUUCGCCAUGGCUUAUAUGCACUUGACGCACCGCCUGCAUCUCCUACGACGUCUUCUCCUCAGGUGUUCAGUGGUGUUCGUGUGUCGCCUACGCACUGGCAUGCGCGCCUUGGUCCCCCUGCUGCUCCUAUAGUUAGUCAUGUGCUGCAUCGCCAUGAACUACCAGUUGUGUCCAAUAAGAGUGCUGAAACUAUCUAUGAUGCCUGUCAGCAGGGCAAGAGUCACCAACUACCUUUUUCAGAGUCUAGUUGUGUUGUGAAACAUCCUCUUGAGCUUGUGUUUUCU